RNAcentral lists this small nuclear RNA (97 nucleotides) under Physeter macrocephalus (sperm whale). Lineage: Eukaryota; Metazoa; Chordata; Mammalia; Artiodactyla; Physeteridae. The record is from RNAcentral.
GUGCUCGCUUCGGCAGCACAUAUACUAAAAUUGGAACGAUACAGAGGAGAUUAGCGUGGCUCCUGCGCAAGGAUGACGUGAAGCGUUCCAUAUUUUU